Non-coding RNA from Arachis ipaensis, 803 nucleotides. The record is from RefSeq and is a predicted model, not a curated record. NCBI's taxonomy places the organism in Eukaryota, Viridiplantae, Streptophyta, Magnoliopsida, Fabales, Fabaceae.
AAAAAAUUCAAGCUACAGUUAAGAAACAGCUUCUUAAUAGGCUUAGGAAUCAUAUAGUUGAAGGUCAAGUUUAUAGAAUGGCAUACUUUACUCUUGUGUCAAAUCAUGGUAGCUAUAGAGCAACUUCUCAUGAAUUCAAAUUGGUUUUCCUUCAUCGAAUCACUGUUGUACCUGUUGAUGAAGAUGUUAUCCCAAAGACUUGUUUCAACAUGUUUCCUUUUUCUGACCUGCUAAACAUGACCCAAGAUUAUGAUUUUUUUGUUGAUGUCAUUGGUCUUUUAACUUCAGUGGGUGAAGAGAAAGAAUAUGCAAAAGAGGAAAAAAUUGUGAAAAUGAUUGUGCUCGAAUUAACUUCAAAAGAAUAUGUUGAUUCAGUCAUUUAUGGUGGUUUCUCUUUAUCUUUUAAUCAUCUUUUUUUCUUAUUUUCUGUUUCAUUCUUUCUCAUGUUUUGAGUUUCAGUCUUACAGUACGUUGUGCAGUGUUUGGGGACUAUGUUAAUCAAGUAAAUUAUUUCCUAGUCUCUGGCUAUGUGGAGCAGUCUGUUGUUGUCAUUCAACUUGCAAAAGUCAAGUUCUUUAGGGGUCAAGUAGGUCUCCAAAAUGUGAUGUAUGCCACUCAAAUGUUAUUUAAUCCUGAUAUUCCUGAAGUUGUUGAAUUCAGGCAGAGUAUGAUUGAGCAAGGUGUCAAUGGUACCCAGCCACUGUUUAUCACAAAUGAGGGUAAAGUUGUCUCCUUGGAAGAUGAUUUCAUGCGUUUAACUAGAAGAUGCACUAUUGAAGAGCUCCAGGAUAACAAUGAGGUUG